UUAAACGUCCAUACCACGUCGAAUACACUGGUUCUCAUACGAUCACCGAAGUUUAGCAACGUCGGGCGCGGUCAGUACUCGGAUGGGUGACCGCCUGGGAACAUCGCGAGACGUUGGCU
Molecule: ribosomal RNA, 119 nt
Filed under: Melitaea cinxia (Glanville fritillary)
Lineage: Eukaryota; Metazoa; Arthropoda; Insecta; Lepidoptera; Nymphalidae
Source: RNAcentral